Non-coding RNA from Colletotrichum navitas, 102 nucleotides. The record is from the annotation of a RefSeq genome assembly. Lineage: Eukaryota; Fungi; Ascomycota; Sordariomycetes; Glomerellales; Glomerellaceae.
GGAAGGGCGGCCGAGUUGGUUAUGGCGCCAGGUUGAGGUCAGCUUGACAUCUGGUUUUUCCUGGUGGGGCAACCCGCGCGAGCUCUAGUCUCGUCCCUUUCA